ACGGGAGUAGAACUAACAGGAUUCCCCUAGUAACUGCGAGUGAAGCGGGAAAAGCUCAAAUUUAAAAUCUGGCGGUCUUUGGCUGUCCGAGUUGUAGUCUGGAGAAGCGUUUUCCGCGCUGGACCGUGUACAAGUCCCUUGGAAUAGGGCGUCAUAGAGGGUGAGAAUCCCGUCUUUGACACGGACUACCAGUGCUUUGUGAUGCGCUCUCAAAGAGUCGAGUUGUUUGGGAAUGCAGCUCAAAAUGGGUGGUAAAUUCCAUCUAAAGCUAAAUAUUGGCGAGAGACCGAUAGCGAACAAGUACCGUGAGGGAAAGAUGAAAAGCACUUUGGAAAGAGAGUUAAACAGUACGUGAAAUUGCUAAAAGGGAAACGCUUGAAGUCAGUCGCGUUAUGCAGAACUCAGCCUGGCUUUUGCUUGGUGUAUUUUCUGUAUGACGGGCCAGCAUCAAUUUUGGCCGCUGGAAAAAGGCCUCAGAAAUGUGGCACCUUCGGGUGUGUUAUAGUCUGAGGUCAUAUACAGCGGCUGGGAUUGAGGUCUGCAGCACGCCUUUAUGGCUGGGGUUCGCCCACAUUCGUGCUUAGGAUGCUGGCGUAAUGGCUUUAAACGACCCGUCUUGAAACACGGACCAAGGAGUCUAACAUGCCUGCGAGUGUUUGGGUGGAAAACCCGAGCGCGCAAUGAAAGUGAAAGUUGAGAUCCCUGUCGUGGGGAGCAUCGACGCCCGGACCAGACCUUUUGUGACGGAUCUGCGGUAGAGCAUGUAUGUUGGGACCCGAAAGAUGGUGAACUAUGCCUGAAUAGGGUGAAGCCAGAGGAAACUCUGGUGGAGGCUCGUAGCGAUUCUGACGUGCAAAUCGAUCGUCAAAUUUGGGUAUAGGGGCGAAAGACUAAUCGAACCAUCUAGUAGCUGGUUCCUGCCGAG
This 925-nucleotide ribosomal RNA is filed under the name Cerrena zonata. RNAcentral's name for it is "partial large subunit ribosomal RNA". It matches the Rfam family "Eukaryotic large subunit ribosomal RNA", at positions 49 to 965 of the family's 3401-position model. Lineage: Eukaryota; Fungi; Basidiomycota; Agaricomycetes; Polyporales; Cerrenaceae. The record is from RNAcentral.